CCUACGGGCGGCAGCAGUGGGGAAUAUUGCACAAUGGGCGCAAGCCUGAUGCAGCCAUGCCGCGUGUGUGAAGAAGGCCUUCGGGUUGUAAAGCACUUUCAGCGGGGAGGAAGGCGGUGAGGUUAAUAACCUCAUCGAUUGACGUUACCCGCAGAAGAAGCACCGGCUAACUCCGUGCCAGCAGCCGCGGUAAUACGGAGGGUGCAAGCGUUAAUCGGAAUUACUGGGCGUAAAGCGCACGCAGGCGGUCGGUCAAGUCGGAUGUGAAAUCCCCGGGCUCAACCUGGGAACUGCAUUCGAAACGGGCAGGCUAGAGUCUUGUAGAGGGGGGUAGAAUUCCAGGUGUAGCGGUGAAAUGCGUAGAGAUCUGGAGGAAUACCGGUGGCGAAGGCGGCCCCCUGGACAAAGACUGACGCUCAGGUGCGAAAGCGUGGGGAGCAAACAGGAUUAGAUACCCUAGUAGUC
RNAcentral lists this ribosomal RNA (465 nucleotides) under uncultured Klebsiella sp. Its description in RNAcentral is "bacterial SSU rRNA". It matches the Rfam family "Bacterial small subunit ribosomal RNA", at positions 338 to 795 of the family's 1533-position model. Lineage: Bacteria; Pseudomonadati; Pseudomonadota; Gammaproteobacteria; Enterobacterales; Enterobacteriaceae. The record is from RNAcentral.